RNAcentral lists this ribosomal RNA (670 nucleotides) under uncultured Cyphobasidiales. RNAcentral's name for it is "SSU rRNA". It matches the Rfam family "Eukaryotic small subunit ribosomal RNA", at positions 473 to 1146 of the family's 1831-position model. The record is from RNAcentral. Lineage: Eukaryota; Fungi; Basidiomycota; Cystobasidiomycetes; Cyphobasidiales.
AUAAAUAACAAUAUAGGGCUCUUAUGGGUCUUAUAAUUGGAAUGAGUACAAUUUAAAUCCCUUAACGAGGAUCAAUUGGAGGGCAAGUCUGGUGCCAGCAGCCGCGGUAAUUCCAGCUCCAAUAGCGUAUAUUAAAGUUGUUGCCGUUAAAAAGCUCGUAGUCGAACUUCGGCCUUUGCCGCCCGGUCCGCCUAUUUGGGUGUGUACUGGAGCGGUGGAGGCUUACCUCGUGGUGAGCAAUCAUCCCCUUUACUGGGAGUGGUUGGGAACCAUGAUUUUUACUUUGAAAAAAUUAGAGUGUUCAAAGCAGGCUUAUGCCCGAAUACAUUAGCAUGGAAUAAUAAAAUAGGACGUGCGGUUCUAUUUUGUUGGUUUCUAGGAUCGCCGUAAUGAUUAAUAGGGAUAGUUGGGGGCAUUCGUAUUCAAUUGCUAGAGGUGAAAUUCUUGGAUUUAUUGAAGACGAACUACUGCGAAAGCAUUUGCCAAGGAUGUUUUCAUUGAUCAAGAACGAAGGUUAGGGGAUCGAAAACGAUCAGAUACCGUUGUAGUCUUAACAGUAAACGAUGCCGACUAGGGAUCGGACGAGGAUUUUUAAUGACUCGUUCGGCACCUGAAGAGAAAUCUUUAAGUCUAGGUUCGGGGGGGAGUAUGGUCGCAAGGCUGAAACUUA